UCUAUUAGUUCAUAAUCACAAACCAACAGAAAACUAAAGCCAACAUUAUGAAAUUAGUAAUGAAACCGUUUCUAUAACAUUGAAUUAACACAGGACACAGGAAAGGCUUUUCUUCCUCUAUCAACAAGCAGCAAAGCUCUUCCCCCACCAGCAGCAGAAGCAGCUACAACCACCACCGUGGAUGAAAAAGAACCUGAGCCAGCAAUUAAAGCCGCCACUGCACAAGUAACCAUAUAUCCAGCGACCGAAACUGCUACGGAACAAGUAAUCACAGAACCAACAAAAACAGAAACCAAACCGAAACUUUAUCCAAGACCAUUAUCUCCAUAUGCAUCGUACUCAUACUUGAAGCCUCCAACAUCUCCCACACCAGUAAGCAGCAAAGGUCUUCCCGCACCAGCACCAGUAGCAGCAGAAGCAGCUACAACCACCAUCGUCGAUGAACCAGAACCUGAGCUAGAGCCAGCAAUCAAAGCGGCCACUGCACAAGUAAACUCAGAGCCAGCGGCCAAAGCCGCCACUGAACAAG
This is a long non-coding RNA of Brassica oleracea var. oleracea, 529 nucleotides long. RefSeq lists it as uncharacterized. The transcript has 2 exons. The record is from RefSeq and is a predicted model, not a curated record. NCBI's taxonomy places the organism in Eukaryota, Viridiplantae, Streptophyta, Magnoliopsida, Brassicales, Brassicaceae.